GUAGCCAUUGUUAAAAACCUCAAGUGGUGAAUUUUCUAAUAAGUUUGUGUUGUUCUUAAUAGGCGAAAAUCAAGCUGGCAAAAAGGCAGUUUUUGUUCAAUAGUACGAAGUAGUGAAUAGUAUUACGCCAGCCAUUGUAGCCAUAAAAGCAUCAUUGUUCUAUUGUUUGCUUGUGAAGAGUUGU
Molecule: long non-coding RNA, 184 nt
Organism: Aedes aegypti (yellow fever mosquito)
Lineage: Eukaryota; Metazoa; Arthropoda; Insecta; Diptera; Culicidae
Exons: 2
Source: RefSeq, a predicted model, not a curated record